GAGUUUGAUCAUGGCUCAGGAUGAACGCUAGCGGCAGGCUUAAUACAUGCAAGUCGAGGGGCAGCAGCUUUAUAGCAAUAUAGAGGCUGGCGACCGGCAAACGGGUGCGGAACACGUACACAACCUUCCUUGAAUAGGGGGAUAGCCCAUAGAAAUGUGGAUUAAUACCCCGUAAUAUAGCGGUGUGGCAUCACACUGUUAUUAUAGUUUCGGCGAUUCGAGAUGGGUGUGCGGCUGAUUAGGUAGUUGGCGGGGUAAAGGCCCACCAAGCCUUCGAUCAGUAGCUGAUGUGAGAGCAUGAUCAGCCACACGGGCACUGAGACACGGGCCCGACUCCUACGGGAGGCAGCAGUAAGGAAUAUUGGUCAAUGGACGCAAGUCUGAACCAGCCAUGCCGCGUGAAGGAUGAAGGUCCUCUGGAUUGUAAACUUCUUUUAUAGGGGGCGAAAAAAGGUCUUUCUAGAUCACUGACAGWCCCCUA
RNAcentral lists this ribosomal RNA (481 nucleotides) under uncultured Bacteroidota bacterium. RNAcentral's name for it is "bacterial SSU rRNA". The record is from RNAcentral. Lineage: Bacteria; Pseudomonadati; Bacteroidota.